UCAAAAACAUAGCUUAUUGAAUUUUAUAGUAGGUAAAUUCUGCUCAAUGAUUUAUUUAAAUAGCCGCAGUACCUUGACUGUGCUAAGGUAGCAUAAUAAUUUGUCUUAUAAUUGAAGUCUAGAAUGAAUGGAAUUAUUUGGGUAAAAUCUAUCUAAGUUUAAUUAAAUUUAAUUUUUUUAAUAAGUGAAAAUACUUAUAUAAUUAUGAAAGACGAGAAGACCCUAGAAAUUUUGAUUAAUUAUAAUGUAAUAAUUAUAAAUAUUUUUGUUGGGGCGACAGAAUUACAAAAUUAACUUAUUUUAUUAUUUUGUUAAUUUAAAAAAACCUUUUGAUUAAAUAUAAAUUACUCUAGGGAUAACAGCAUAAUUUAUUAAUAAGUUUGUGACCUCGAUGUUGGAUUAGGAAAAAUAUAUACUAAAAGUAUUUAUUAUUGGUUCUGUUCGAACUUAAUUUCUUACAUGAUCUG
Molecule: ribosomal RNA, 467 nt
Filed under: Solaropsis sp. ru RBS-2020
Lineage: Eukaryota; Metazoa; Mollusca; Gastropoda; Stylommatophora; Solaropsidae
Description: partial large subunit ribosomal RNA
Source: RNAcentral